RNAcentral lists this long non-coding RNA (776 nucleotides) under Mytilus galloprovincialis (Mediterranean mussel). The record is from RNAcentral. Lineage: Eukaryota; Metazoa; Mollusca; Bivalvia; Mytilida; Mytilidae.
CGUUGUUCUCCUAUUAUUUUAAUGCGUUUCCCUCGGAUUAAGUUUGUUACCCCGAUUUUGUUUUUUGAGUUUCGAACAGCGGUAUACUACUGUUGCCUUUAUUUUAUAUAUAUCAUUAAAAAUGCUUUAUUGAAUAUAUAUGAAAGAAUAAUUACACAGAUAAAUACGGAUUCAUUAAAAGUUCCAUUAUAUAAAGUUUAUGUAUCUGAACAAAUCGACAUGGGUGAAAGGAAGGACCUAGACGGUGGCGGAUCCAAGAAGGGCGUACAUCCCCUGGUUUGAUAAAAAAAAUCUUUUUAUUCGCAUGAAAUCGUAAAAAAAUGUCUUCGUUAAAGAGACCUACACUCAUUUUCACUUUUCCUCGUAAACCUGGAUCCGCCACUAUCAGCUUCGCUAAAAAAAAAAUAUUGACGUGGAAACAUUUGUUUUAAAAGAAUUUAAAACAAUAAGAGGUAGUUAUUUGAAAUAAACUCUAUCAGAAGAAAAGAAAUGAAGAGUACCGUGCUCGUGGAAAGUUGACUCCUUGGCAAUGAUACCUCAUUUUAUUUUUAUACUGAUGAUCCCUUUUUAGUUCACAUGAUUUCAUUUCGUAUCAUGCUUUGACUAUGACAUGAAAUGUAAAAUGACAUUAAAGAAAAAACAUAAUCAACUUAGAUGAGACAGCAAUCCAACAAAAAAAAAAGACCACUGAGGUCUUGGAUACAAAAUCAUUAUGGUAUCAUGUACGACUUUAUACAAAUCUACAAUAUAAGUUCAUUGGUGAUGUACAAUGAUAU